This 1045-nucleotide unclassified non-coding RNA is filed under the name Hevea brasiliensis (rubber tree). Lineage: Eukaryota; Viridiplantae; Streptophyta; Magnoliopsida; Malpighiales; Euphorbiaceae. The record is from RNAcentral.
AUUGCAGUUAAAUCUAACCCCACAAUUUAACAGGAGUGUCCUCACUGUUGUAGGAAAUACAGAUGUGAGUAUCUACUGGCAUGAUCGGGAACGACUAGCUGUCAGACCCAUACAUGGAGAAGAUUCUCAAGGAAGAAGCCGUGCACAGUAUGAGAUCAAAAUUCGCAGAGCAGAGAAGUUUAAAGACAAACUGAUUUUUACACUCCCAGCAACUGGUCAGAUCACGGAAGUUAAUGUUAACUAUGAACCUGAAGAGAGAAGAGCAACAAUUGUUAACCUUAAUCUAUGGGCUACUGCAGCUGCUUGUUUCAUCUUGCUUAUAGUCACAGCCACUGUAUUCAUUUCUUACUUGGAUCAACCUGUGAGAUCCCGACCAUCUGCUCCUCCUGGCACACCAAGUGUAGCUGCACCUGUAACUCCUGAGCGAAGCAGUCCUGCUGGAGUAAGCGAACAUUCACCUCGGACACCUCAACCUUUCUUGGAUUAUGUUAGGAGGACAAUUGAUGAAACUCCAUACUACAGACAAGACUUUAGGAGGAGGGCUAACCCUCAGAACACUUACUAGCAUGUUGUGGGGCCAAUUCACCUCUUCCCUACUCCCCCUUUUGCCUUUGCCAGAUAUGCCAAUUCACCUCUUCCCUACUCCCCCUUUUGCCUUUGCCAGAUAUGCCAAAUGGUUUCUCAGGUAAUUGCCAAAGGUCUUGAAUCUGGCUGCAAACUUUACAAUGAUAGUGUUGUAGUUUUUUUGGUGUAAUUUUGUGUAGAGUAUUGCAAGCUGUGUGUCAUUGGAUACUUUCUAGAGAAGCAGCCUCAUCUGCCAAAAAAAUCUUAUGUCCUGCUUUCUGCUGGAAAAGGCAAUACAACAGCACUUUCUACAGUACAACUUGCCUAUGCACAAACUAGAAAACAUCUCUCUGAUGAAGCAGUUGAGAUUGUGCUCAUCAUAUUUGGUAAAAUCAGGUUUGAAUGUGAAGACAAUUUUUAAAUAGCUGCACUGUCUAAUUAUUUUGAUUAUAGCACUAUGAGUCUAUGACUAUUAGGCUCG